Molecule: ribosomal RNA, 430 nt
Filed under: Streptococcus mitis
Lineage: Bacteria; Bacillati; Bacillota; Bacilli; Lactobacillales; Streptococcaceae
Description: bacterial SSU rRNA
Rfam family: Bacterial small subunit ribosomal RNA
Source: RNAcentral
GACGAACGCUGGUGGCGUGCCUAAUACAUGCAAGUAGAACGCUGAAGGAGGAGCUUGCUCUUUCUGGAUGAGUUGCGAACGGGUGAUUAACGCGUAGGUAACCUCCCUGGUAGCGGGGGAUAACUAUUGGAAACGAUAGCUAAUACCGCAUAAUAGUAGAUGUUGCAUGACAUUUGCUUAAAAGGUGCAAUUGCAUCACUACCAGAUGGACCUGCGUUGUAUUAGCUAGUUGGUGAGGUAACGGCUCACCAAGGCAACGAUACAUAGCCGACCUGAGAGGGUGAUCGGCCACACUGGGACUGAGACACGGCCCAGACUCCUACGGGAGGCAGCAGUAGGGAAUCUUCGGCAAUGGACGGAAGUCUGACCGAGCAACGCCCGCGUGAAGUGAAAGAAAGGGUUUUUCGGGAUCCGUAAAGCUUCUGUUUGU